This 572-nucleotide ribosomal RNA is filed under the name Neonectria sp. BESC869a. RNAcentral describes it as "eukaryotic LSU rRNA". It matches the Rfam family "Eukaryotic large subunit ribosomal RNA", at positions 1 to 586 of the family's 3401-position model. Lineage: Eukaryota; Fungi; Ascomycota; Sordariomycetes; Hypocreales; Nectriaceae. The record is from RNAcentral.
ACCUCGAAUCAGGUAGGACUACCCGCUGAACUUAAGCAUAUCAAUAAGCGGAGGAAAAGAAACCAACAGGGAUUGCCCUAGUAACGGCGAGUGAAGCGGCAACAGCUCAAAUUUGAAAUCUGGCCUUCGGGUCCGAGUUGUAAUUUGUAGAGGAUGCUUUUGGUGAGGUGCCUUCCGAGUUCCCUGGAACGGGACGCCAUAGAGGGUGAGAGCCCCGUCUGGUUGGACACCGAUCCUCUGUAAAGCUCCUUCAACGAGUCGAGUAGUUUGGGAAUGCUGCUCUAAAUGGGAGGUAUAUGUCUUCUAAAGCUAAAUAUUGGCCAGAGACCGAUAGCGCACAAGUAGAGUGAUCGAAAGAUGAAAAGCACUUUGAAAAGAGAGUUAAAAAGUACGUGAAAUUGUUGAAAGGGAAGCGCUCAUGACCAGACUUGGGCUUGGUUGAUCAUCCAGGGUUCUCCCUGGUGCACUCUUCCAGUUCAGGCCAGCAUCAGUUCGCUGCGGGGGAUAAAGGCUUUGGGAAUGUGGCUCCUUCGGGAGUGUUAUAGCCCAUUGUGUAAUACCCUGUGGNGGAC